GACGAACGCUGGCGGCGUGCCUAAUACAUGCCAGUAGAACGCUGAAGAGAGGAGCUUGCUCUUCUUGGAUGAGUUGCGAACGGGUGAGUAACGCGUAGGUAACCUGCCUUGUAGCGGGGGAUAACUAUUGGAAACGAUAGCUAAUACCGCAUAACAAUGGAUGACACAUGUCAUUUAUUUGAAAGGGGCAAUUGCUCCACUACAAGAUGGACCUGCGUUGUAUUAGCUAGUAGGUGAGGUAACGGCUCACCUAGGCGACGAUACAUAGCCGACCUGAGAGGGUGAUCGGCCACCCUGGGAAUGAGACACGGCCCAGACUCCUACGGGAGGCAGCAGUAGGGAAUCUUCGGCAAUGGGGGCAACCCUGACCGAGCAACGCCGCGUGAGUGAAGAAGGUUUUCGGAUCGUAAAGCUCUGUUGUAAGUCAAGAACGAGUGUGAGAGUGGAAAGUUCACACUGUGACGGUAGCUUACCAGAAAGGGACGGCUAACUACGUG
RNAcentral lists this ribosomal RNA (497 nucleotides) under uncultured bacterium. Its description in RNAcentral is "partial 16S ribosomal RNA". It matches the Rfam family "Bacterial small subunit ribosomal RNA", at positions 28 to 507 of the family's 1533-position model. The record is from RNAcentral.